AUGGCAUCCCCAGCACAGCUCCUUUGUCUUCUGCUCCUGUGGCUCUCAAGUUCACAAGGGGAAGUUGUUCUGACCCAAUCCCCAGCCUCCCUGUCUGUGGCUCUGGGAGAGAGAGUCACCAUCAACUGCAAGGCCAGUCAGAGCCUCUUACACAGCAAUGGGUACACUUACUUACAGUGGUACCAACAGAAACCAGGACAACUUAUUAAACUCCUGAUUUACAAAGUUUCCAAUCUAUUCUCUGGGAUUCCCUCUCGAUUCAGUGGCAGCGGGUCUGGGACAGAUUUCACCCUCACAAUCAGCAGGCUGGAGCCUGGGGAUUUAGCCAUAUAUCACUGCCAGUAA
Vombatus ursinus (common wombat) is the source of this 345-nucleotide non-coding RNA. Lineage: Eukaryota; Metazoa; Chordata; Mammalia; Diprotodontia; Vombatidae. The record is from the annotation of a RefSeq genome assembly.